Molecule: ribosomal RNA, 252 nt
Filed under: uncultured bacterium
Lineage: Bacteria
Description: partial 16S ribosomal RNA
Rfam family: Bacterial small subunit ribosomal RNA
Source: RNAcentral
UACGUAGGGGGCAAGCGUUGUCCGGAAUUAUUGGGCGUAAAGCGCGCGCAGGCGGUUCGUUAAGUCUUCUGUUUAAGGCUGAGGCUCAACCUCGGUACGCAGGGGAAACUGGCGGACUGGAGUGCAGGAGAGGAAAGUGGAAUUCCACGUGUAGCGGUGAAAUGCGUAGAGAUGUGGAGGAACACCAGUGGCGAAGGCGACUUUCUGGCCUGCAACUGACGCUGAGGCGCGAAAGCGUGGGGAGCAAACAGG